RNAcentral lists this long non-coding RNA (204 nucleotides) under Nicotiana benthamiana. RNAcentral's name for it is "long non-coding RNA (NBEN_LNC000149)". Lineage: Eukaryota; Viridiplantae; Streptophyta; Magnoliopsida; Solanales; Solanaceae. The record is from RNAcentral.
GAACAAAAGAGUAUUGUUUCAGGUGAGAGAAUUGAGGCAAUGUUGGCAACGAUGAUGAGGAAAGAGGCGGCGAAUGUGACUGGAAUUGAAUCUCAGUCAUCUGCGGCGGCGGCAGCGUUGACGACGAUGAAAAAUGAAGUGCAAUUUGCUAAGUGCGAGUGCUGUGGAUUGACGGAGGAGUGUACGGAGGCGUACAUAGCGAGA